This 356-nucleotide long non-coding RNA is filed under the name Mus spicilegus (steppe mouse). Its description in RNAcentral is "lncRNA (ENSMSIG00000031629.1)". The record is from RNAcentral. Lineage: Eukaryota; Metazoa; Chordata; Mammalia; Rodentia; Muridae.
AGAGAAUAAAACAGUAGGCCACUCUUCAUUACAGAAAGAAAACCCAUUUGAAGACCAUUUUUCUGUAUAAUCACUUCAAAAACAUGAAUAUCACUUUGGAGGUCAAGGUCAACAUAGCUGACAUAAACCUGAUACGUGGAUCAGAGAUGGUUUUCGUGGAGGACAUGGGCAUAUUCAAGACUCUUUUAAGAGAACAGUUCUCCUUUAUGUCCCAGUCAAGAGAAAGAGGAACCAAGCCCUGUGUGAAAAACUUGGUCCCGAGUCCAUGUGGUCUGAGAAGAGAAUGCAAGUUUUUUACAAUAAGUUUUGAUGAUGGUCUAUCUUCAGUUGGCCCAUAUCAAAAGAGCUGCUGUUAG